UAUGAAACACUUUAUAAAAUUCAAACCACAAUCCGCUCAAGGGAAAAAAAAAUCCACUCAAGAAAAAAAAUAAUGUUCCUUACACAUGGGGGGUGGGGGAUAACAAAUAGAUAAAUGCUUAUUUAGGGGGGGCACAUACGAAUGUGUUUCCAUUUCUUAUCAGGUCAAAUGCCAUGCCACAUUUUUAAGGUAUAAAAUUCGAUAACAUCAAAAUGAAGAUAGAAAUAUAUUGUUACGUCUACUAGUGACCUAGAUAUGCAAUAUGUAAUUCGGGUCUGUUUUUUAGGCUUCCACAAUAGCUGAAAAACAACUUUUUCCAAAAAUAUGGGGACAUGCUUUUAGAAAAAACAGCUUUUCAGCCAAAAUUGUUUCGGGAAGCUGCUUUUAGAUUUACCAAACAAUUUCACUUUUCACCUGCUUUUAAAGCUGUCAGACAGUGAUACCAAACAUAACCUUAGUUACAAUCCACAAAAACUACACCUAAUCAAAAAAAGUUCCAAAUUGACUUCAAAAGCAAGUCAAGCGAAGGGGAUGUAAUAACCAGAGACAAGAAUCCAAUAAAAAUUAUUAAUGCAAACAACAGAUAAUUACGAAGACAACACAUACAAAUCAAAUCAUAACACGCAUACACAUACAAAUCAAAUCAAAACACGCAUAAUUAAUCACCUUAAACGCAACAUGCUUAUCGCUCUUAUUCGACAACUGAAAUGAGCAACAGAUCUGCUUCUUCAGCUCAACUAUUAAUCAAUCAAACAAACAAACACAUAAACAAAACCAAUCAGUAACUAACCAACAAUCAAAAAAAACCUAGGUUAAAUUAAAUUCAACAUUUACUAAAAAAAGAUGAUUAGUUAGUUAAUUACGUGGAAAUUUGAGCUCGAGAGGGUCGAUGGAGAUGAGCCCCUCGGGAUGCGCAGAUUGGAACAGCGUGCUGGUAGUUGAAUCCAUGAGAGAAGUAAAGAGCCGUUAGGUGGGAGAUGAUAUCGGAGAAGUAUAUAGAUACAGGGGUUGUGUAAGUAUUUAAAGCGAAGCGAGAGAAGAAACCGAAGAGAAUAUGGUUUUCAACUUUGUUUCUGGCUGUUCGAUCCGAAACAAUGCAGAUUCGGGUCUACUGCCGGUCAGGAUUUUAAUCGUAGAAUAUUUGAAAAGUUUAUUAAUAAAUUAUUUUGGGAUUUUCUUGCACUAGCAACUAUUUUUUGUUGAGUUGAAAGACUUUUAUUGAUCAAAACCUCGUUAAUAAUCAUGUACCCUGUAACUGUAAAAAAAACAUGUCCAGUAAAAGUCCUGUAACUCAAUAAAAAGUGUAUGCUCAUAGGCACACUAGAAAGACUCAAUUAUUUCAAGUAAUAAUAUGUGAGGAACGAAUACAAAAACUUUUACAUAAUCCAAAACAGAUUAUACCUUCUUAUUGCAUGUUUAUGAUUCAUUUUCUUAAAUCAAAACAAAUUAUGCUUGUCAAUUUUAAUCUUGAACCAUGAUUUAGAAAAAUAUUUAAAUCACAUUAUAAUAAUUUUAAUAUAAAAUACAUUUAUAAAUAUAUUCUAAUAGAAGUUGGCCUCACACAUUCAACUCAAAAUUUCAUUAAAAUUUGAUAGAAAGAAUUUAAUACUUUGGCCUGGUACAUAUGAGAAAAGGAAUGACUUGAUUACAAUAGUUUAUUUGAAGCCAUUAAUGACUGUGAUGGUGUAUUUACAAUAGUUCUAACUUACAAACAAAUCAUAGUUUCAAAUUUUAUUUUAUUGAAAAUUUUGAUUUAUUAUUUAUAAAUUAAAUUUUUUCGCACCUUUUUAAAAUAUAUUUAAAAAUUUUAUAAAUAAUUAAAAAACUCCCGUGCGUUGCACGGGCUAUAAGCUGGUACUUAAUAAUGAUAUUAACAAGAAAAAUGUUGCAAUAUUGUUAGAAUUGUGUAAUAGUUAAAUUUUAUAUUAUAAAAAUUUAAAGAAUAUAUAUAUAUAUAUAUAUAUAUAUAUGCAAUUAAUAUCAUGGACAUAUAAUUUAUUAUUUUAGUUAUAUCAUUUGACAAAUAUGGAUAAUAAAAAUAUAUAUAAAUAAGUCAUUUUGAAUGAAAAUUUUGAACCUUAUUUAUUAAUUUCCUCACGGGCUUUUCAAUUACAUUUUAAUUUUAUUAUUUCAACUUUGAACUUCAUAAAAGAUAAUUAUAAUUAUUUAGUUAUGUAACAAAAAAGUUUCAGAAUAAUAUCAACAAUUUUUUUGGGCAUUCUUUAAAAUGAUAUAUUUUAAAAAUUAUUAUCUAAUCCAAUUUAUAUUAUUUUAUUUGAGUGUAACUUAAAUAUUAAAAAUUGUUCGGAGAAAAUAGUAAAACGAUAAUAUAUUUCAAAUCGUGUUUUCAACCGAAAACAUAACUUGAAAUCGAGCUUAAAAUAUAAUUUUAAGUCAUAUUUAUCUCACAAAAUCAAAAACGUUAUUAAAGUUAUUUUUCAAAAAACAGACUAAGUCUUAUUUAUCUCUAAGAGCAACUCCGAUAGCUUAGCUAUUUGGAGUCUUAAAUUAAAAUACGAGAAAUAUGAGAAAAUAAUUCACUCCAACAGUCAGUAACUUAGUGAUUUCUUAAAUCACUAAGAUCCAUUAGCCAUACUUUAUUUUUAACUAACCUCCCUCCUCUCUUAAAUCUUAUUUUAAAAUAAAUUUUGAAAACAAACAUGUUAUCUCUCUUCACUUAUUGUAAUAAUAGUAAAUUUUAAUAAUAAUAUAGUAUACAAAAAAAGAAUAUAAGUAAUAUUGUUGGAGGCGGGAAUAUCUAUUAUUAUCUUAAGUCUAUAAAAUCCAAUAUUUUAUAUUAUAUUUAAAAAAUGUGUUAAGAUGUGUUGGAGUUGCUCUAAAUAUUGAUUUUUGGAAAUUUUCUCCCAAUGUUUUUAUACAUAUUUCAUUUUACAGCGUCUCUCUUUUAUCACGUCUCAAUUCCUUGAGGAAUUUCUUCUUUUAUUCCAACUACACUGUAAAUUACCGAACACAAGCUAUACAUACAAGCUCGGUGCUAUAAAAAAAUUCGACGAAGAUGAUGGUGGAUCUGAGCUCAUUUUCCGACGAGAAUUUUGAGGCGAAGAAAUGGAUAAACAAUGCCUGUCAAUCACGUCACCCUCAAGAUCCGCUGGAGAAUCAUUUAGUAGAUCUGGAGAUGAAGCUUCAAAUGAUCUCCGAAGAGAUCUCCGCCUCGCUCGAAGAGCAGAGCGCCGCCGCGCUCCUCCGCGUGCCUCGCGCUUCGCGUGACGUCAUUCGCCUUCGCGAUGAUGCGUUGUCGCUUCGUCAAUCGGUGGCUUCGAUCAUCCAGAAACUGAAAAAGGUGUGUUUAUGAGUCAGUGUAUGUAUUCAUGCUUGAAUUGUCAAUUAAUUGAUUCAAUUAGUGAUAAUUGGCACAUAAUGUUGUAGUUUUAGCAAACAGUUUAAGUGCGAGAAGCGCUCACACUUUGAACUCGAGCGUGUGUGUGUAUUCUGUAUUUUUUACUUGUCGCGGUUUUUGAUAUGUGAAUAUGAAGUUAUAUGUUUAGUUUGUCCUUGAAUUAUUAGUUUGGAUCAGGUAGUGACAUUUAUAGAUUGAUCACGCCAAAGCUCACAACACUGUGUUCGUAUCUGUAUCAAUGCUUGUAUUGAAUAUAUGUUUAGCGAGCAUUUUUAGUUUUGUCUGAUCUGAUUCUGCAUUAGUUGCUUUAAUACGUAUCGGAAUUUUUUGAAUCGAGCAAAUUUGGUGAUUAGUGAGAUUGGUAUGUGAUUAUUAAGAUAUAAUGUUGUGUGAACUGUGUUUAUACAUUUGCUCGUUUUUUUUACCUGUGAGUUGAAGUUUUGUGUUAAUUUAAUAUCAAUUAAUUGGUUAAAUUAUGUUUCCUGCUAUUUAGUAUGGUACAAAUUCAGGAAGUGCUAUUGAUGGAUUUAUAUGUGAUAAUUAAGUCAUUUUUUGGUGUAUUAUAUACUUGUAAAUUUUUGCAGGCAGAGGGUUCCUCGGCAGAAUCUAUAGCUACACUUUCAAAAGUCGAUACAGUCAAGCGACGAAUGGAAGCAGCUUUUGAAACUUUGCAGGUUCGGGGUAUUUCUGCUGUUGCAUUUUUUAUACAGCUCAUUGGUGAUCAUCCACUUAAUUAGUUUUGUUAUUAACUUGUAAAUAGGAUGCAGCUGGGUUAACUCAGUUGAGUUCAACUGUGGAGGAUGUGUUUGCCAGUGGUGAUCUUCCACGUGCUGCUGAGACAUUGGCAAAUAUGAGGCAUUGCUUAUCUGCUGUUGGGGAGGUAAUGUCUGGCUUAAACUGAUGGCAUAUUGUUUGUCUUUUGCAAUGCCAAAGAAUGAGAUGGAUUCAUCUGUCUGCCAGGUUGCUGAAUUUGCUAAUAUUAGGAAGCAGCUUGAGGUCUUAGAGGAUAGACUAGACAAUAUGGUCCAGCCUCUGUUGGAUGACGCAAUAAACAAUAGAAAGGUAACAUUCUUCCUGUUCUGAAGGUAGCAAGAAUAUUAGCUCCUCAAAACCUUUUAGAUCAUUCAUAUCUGUACUACUGUUGAUUAAUUUUUUUAAGUUUAAUCAUUCUUCCCUUUGUUAAUGCGUAGACGGAAGUUGCUCAAAAUUAUCGUGGAAUCCUCAUUCGUAUAGGAAGAUUUAAGUCUCUAGAGACAUACUAUGCCAAAGUUCACCUCAAGCCAUUGAAGCAGCUGUGGGAAGAUUUUGACUCUCGGCAACAAACUAAUGCAAUACCGAGCGAGAAAAAUGAAUCUAUUUCACUUUUAAGUUGGUUGCCGAGUUUCUAUGAUGAAUUGCUUCUAUAUAUAGAGCAAGAGUGGAAGUGGUACGGUUCGUAUUUCCACAUUCAUCCAUCUACUAAAGUAAAAAAAAUCAGGAAAGGUUUUUAAGGUUUUGUUUUGGACGAAUACAAUUCUCCACCUGUACACAGAUAUUUGAAGUCAAGUUUUUUUUUGGACGAAUACAAUUCUCCACCUGUACACAGAUAUCUGAAGUCAAGUACACAUAUAAAUAUACCUGUAUAAAAUAUUUAGGCUACUUUAACAGUUCUUAUAUAGUUCUCCAAAAAUUAUAUAUAUAAAAUGUCUUGCUCAUAAUGUAUCCUGUUGGCCUUUGUUAUUUUGAUAGAUUAUUGGUUCACAUCCCUUUACAAACAUGACAUCCACAUUAUACUUUCCAAGGAGCACACAUAAUAUGAGUAUUUUCAUUCCUCCAUCACUAUAUUGAAACUGCUCUAGUUAUGUAAGUCUAGUUUAUCUAAGAAAGAUUAAUGAUGGAAAAUAUCAGUUCAUGGUUAUGAUAACUGUGACAUAAAAAUGAGGGAAAGGAUUGUUACCUUCUCUAAUCAAUCUUUAUAUGAAUUUCCCAGUACACACAUUAAGUGCAUAGUAACUAUAUGUAUUAGCCUAUUAGAUUUUAAUAUCUUUGACUUUCUACAAUUUCAUCGUUAGGUCGAUACUUGCUUUUCCGGAAGAUUACAAGACUCUUGUGCCAAAGCUUUUGCACGAGCUAAUGGCAACUGUUAGUGGAACUUUUGUCUCACGCCUCAAUUUAGCAACUUCUGAAGUUGUCCCAGAAACAAAAGCUUUGGCUAAAGGUAAAACUUCCAGUCAUUGUUUGGGUUACUUUGUUUCUGCUAUUUCAUAUGUAUCAUUUCUUUUACUUAUCCCUAUAAUGUUGUUAUUAAUAUGGAAUUCUAUAUUUUGAAUUAUGAGUUCAUUAUAUGAUCUCUGCGGUCACUGGUGUAUCAAGUAUGGAAUUCUAUAUUUCGUAGGAUGAGUUUUUAAUAUGAUCUCCAUGGUCACUGAUUUAUUCAAGGAAGGAGGGCUGUGUUCAAACACCAAUGCUUUGAGAAUUUCUGUGGGAUGGAUAGGAGAUACGGCGAAGCCUCAAUUUCCUGUUGACCUAUAUUUCAUUGGAUUUUUCUUAAAAUAAAUAAGUUCGUAAACUUCCGUGGGAUGGGUAGGACAAGUAGUUAUUGAAAAUGGAAUUUUUGAGAAAUUAUAAACACAAGGGACUACUUCUCAUCUGAUGAAUGUGUGCAUUUUAUUAUUGAAUAUAUAUAUAGGGUCCAACUCCAAUACAAACCACCGAAAUAAAAAUUAAAUACCACCAAGACAAUUAAGGAGAAUAGGAAGGGUUGUGGGGCCAGGGAUGGAUCUUGAGGUGAGCCUGGGUGGGACCUAAUAGGGUCGAGGACCAAGUUCGGGCUCUUGGGCUGUUCGAGGCCUGUACGAAGCCUUGGCGAGGCUCUAGUGGUCCCGGGGUGGAUUUAGUGGGGGUGGGGCUUAGGUGGGUAAUGUCAUAUAGAGGGUGGGUGAUGUCAUAUAGGGCCGGUUUCUCUUGGUUUGUAAUUGAGCUUUGAUUUAGUGGUUUGUAUUUGAGCAAUUAUCUAUAUGUAUAUAUAUUAAGAGAGAAGGAGGAGCGAGAAGAGAUGGAGGUUGGAAAAGAAUGGCUGGCUUAUCGAAACCUAAGCAUUGUGAGGCACAUGAUUUGCAUUGAAAAAACACAGAAAAUGGAUAGUGAAUGUUAGUUUGGUAAAGUCAUGAUAUUGUUUAAGUUUAAAUUUAAUUUCUGGCCAACUUCUUUAACGACUUCUUAGUUAAAAAGUAUUAGAGUUGAAUUUCAAAGUGAUUGCUAGACAUCAUUUUUCUGGCUUAAAUGUCAAAUUCUUAUUCAUCCCUUGCAUCCUUUUUCUUCUCACUCUUAUUUCAGGCAUAUUGGAUAUCUUAUCUGGAGACGUGCCAAAGAGUGUCAAAGUUCAAACGAAGCACCUUGAGGCACUAAUAGAAUUACACAACAUGACGGGAAGCUUUGCUAGAAAUAUUCAACACUUGUUCUCAGAAACCAACCUGAAGGUUUUAUUGGAGACACUGAAAGCAGUUUAUAAUCCGUAUGAACCCUUCAAACAAAGGUAGUUACAGCAAACAACUUCUAAUACUGUGAUUUUUUAUAUGAUAUAUAUUGUUGAACUUGUGUAUUUCUGUAGUUUUCGUCAAUUGUGUUUGCUUGAGAUUUUUGUCAUUUCCUUCAUAUAAGCCUUUUGUGUUCUCUCUUAGUUUUUAAUUUCCUAAGAGUUAAAGAAUAGAUUGAUUUUACCAAUUCUUUCAUAUACUUGUAACAUCCCGUAAUUUUUAGACAAUAUUUAUUUAUUAAUAAUUAUAAAAAAAGGAUUAAAAUUGGAAAUGAAUAGGAUUAAUAAAAUACAUAAUUCAAUUAGAAUAAUGGACCUAAGAUACAUUGGUAGGUUUGGAAUUAGGGUCUUAAAAAUCUAUAUAUUGAUUGUGUUCCUCUCAUUCUUUAUGUUCUUUUAUGAGCCAUCAAGCUUUCUCGAGAUUUUAAUUCUUGUUCACCCAUCAUCCUUGUUAUUGAAAUUCGUAGGGUUUAUCAAACACAUAUCAGCAAUCAUGUAAGAUUUGAUCUAAGAGCGAGUUGAUGUGCAUUACUGUUUGGGGAUAUUAGAUCCGGAGAAGUUUGACACGUAAAUUAUAGAUGUUAGCUGCACUUUUGUAUUUUAGGUUAAUGAUUUGUAAUUGAUAUAAUUUUAACAAAAUUUUGGAUUAAUAAAUUGUAUUGUAUAUUAGUUUAGCUCGAUUUAAUAGUCCGGAAAAGUGCGGGCUGUUACAUUAUUUCUCUGAAAAGCCAUUAUGUGAUACAGAAGUUCACAUGGAAGCAAGAUAGUGGUGACUUUUCUUAAAUUUUAUAGUUUUGGUGACGUGAGUUGGAUUCUUUUGUAGAGGUGGAAGUAGUAGGUUGGACUUAUCUUCACAUUAGGCUGUACUAUACUCAAAUAAAAGAACAUAUAAUAUUGUGUCUGAUACAAUAAUUAGAAGCGUGACAUUUUACCCACAAUGUUGGCCGCCACAUCCCACAUUGAUUAGGAUGAAUGCAUUUGAGGCCUUUAUAAGUACAUUGGUACAAGUCAACAAUGAAUGGCAUAUACAGGUUGCAUUUUAGAGGAUCUUUAAUAUAUUCUUUUAUCAGCAAUUCUGCCUUGUUCUUUUACCAGAUUUUUAUGAAACUUGUGGUCUGAUUUCUAGGUAUGGACAGAUGGAGCGCAUUACUUUAUCUGCUGAGAUUGGAGGAAUUGAUCUCAGAGGAGCUGUAAAAACUACCCGCAUUGGAUCCCAAGGAGUUGAACUUAGUGAAACAGUUCGAAGAAUGGAAGAGUCUAUCCCACAUGUCAUUGUACUUCUUGAAGCUGCUGUAGAGAGAUGCAUCAACUUUACUGGUGGUUCUGAGGCAGAUGAGUUGAUUCUGGCUCUCGAUGACAUAAUGUUACAAUACAUUUCCACUUUACAAGACAUUCUGAAAUCCUUAAGAGCUGUAUGUGGUCUAGAUGUUAUUUCUGAUGGUAAUGAGAAAAAGGAUGGAGUUUCAGUAGCGCGUAAAGUUGAGUCUUCAACUGAAGAGGAAUGGUCUUAUGUCCAAGGUGCAUUGCAAAUUCUUGCAGUGUCAGAUAGUUUAACAAGCAGAUCUGCAGUUUUUGAAGCUUCCCUGAGAGCUACUCUUGCUAGACUGAGCACCAACCUGUCUGUGUCAGUAUAUGGUUCAAGUCCAGAUCACAAGCAGUCACAUGUGGUGGACGUUGAUGGAAGUGGAGAUUUAUCAGUGGCUGGAAGGGCAGCCUUGGAUGUGGCAGCUUUGAGGCUUAUUGAUGUCCCUGAUAAGGCUCGGAAACUCUUUAACCUAUUAGAACAGGUACAUGAAGAAACAGUUUGUGUAGUAUAUUCGGGAUCUGCUGGUAGCUGGUAACCUUAUAUUAUAUAUAUAUAUAUAUAUAUAUAUAUAUAUAUAUAUAUAUAUAUUUGACCUGAAUAUAGUGGAAGUACAAGUUUGUAAGGGUAAUUAUUAAUUAUAAUAUAAGAUGCGCAACAAGUAGUUCUGCAGUACCAUUAAUGUGGAUUCAGAGAAAAAGAAACAUAGGAUACUGUACUGAUAUACUUUCUAGUCCAUCUUACCAGGAAAGGUUUUUUUUUUUUUUGGCCGAUUCUGGGCCAAAGUAUGGGUUUAUCGCAAAAAGGUUUGGGGUUGCUCUCAUUCAAUCUAAAUGUUAUUAUGUUUUUCUUGCAGUCCAAAGAUCCUCGGUUCCAUGCUCUUCCAAUUACAGCUCAGAGAGUUGCAGCAUUUGCAGAUACAGUCAAUGAGCUCGUUUACGAUGUCCUGAUAUCUAAAGUUCGACAACGUUUUAAUGAUGUGUCUCGUCUUCCAGUUUGGUCUUCUGUUGAGGAACAAAGUUCUCAUCACCUACCAAGCUUUAGUGCAUAUCCACAGAAUUAUGUGACUAGUGUUGGUGAAUAUCUUUUAACUCUUCCCCAGCAAUUAGAACCACUCGUCGAUGGAAUAUCAGGCAGUGAUGCUAAUGCCGAUGAAGCGCAGUUCUUUGCAACUGAAUGGAUGUUCAAGGUAUCUACCUUCUGAAGAGAUGCAACUUACCCCCCCUCACACACACACAAUUAUACAUUCAAAUCAGCACUUAUGGUACGAGCUCAGUACAGAUAACAAACAGUAUGAUGUAAAUAGUGUAAUAAUUGUUUUCAUCUUAGAGAGAGUCCUAGCCUCCUAGGUAAAAAUACUUUUGUUGGGCGUGAUGCCUUGGGCACAAAGUGAGGGUUGUUUGCGUAGAAUUAUUAGGUUUCUGUUGGCUUUUGGUUAACUAAAAAGUAGAAUUUGUUUGUUACUGAAUUAACUCUUUACUUGUUUCUUUGUUGUAAAGGUUGCAGAGGGUGCUACUGCUCUUUAUAUGGAGCAGUUGAGGGGUAUACACUAUAUAACAGAGCGUGGAGCGCAGCAACUGUCCGUAGAUAUCGAGUAUUUGAGCAAUGUGUUGUCUGCUCUCUCAAUGCCAAUUCCUCCCAUCCUUGCUACAUACUACACAUGCCUGUCUACCCCAAGAGAUCAGCUCAAGGAACUGUUGAAAUCGGAUUCUGAAAGCCAGCUUGAUCCCCCGACAGCAAACCUUGUUUGCAAAAUGCGGCGUGUUAAUUUGGAAUAACAUCAAUUUUUAAUUUUCUAUUGAUUGUUACUUAAGGUUCACUGAAGGUUGGCUGGUACCAGUUCUACACUCCUAUUUGCUCACGGAUUGGUUGCUUAUAGCCUUGUGAGCCACCAACAUAUUUUGCUGGAAAAUAUGAGAGCUAUUUUUGGAUAGUGUGUCCUGGAAAUGCUCGGGAGAAAUGUUCUAGAACUCUUUCNNNNNNNNNNNNNNNNNNNNNNNNNNNNNNNNNNNNNNNNNNNNNNNNNNNNNNNNNNNNNNNNNNNNNNNNNNNNNNNNNNNNNNNNNNNNNNNNNNNNNNNNNNNUCCCCGUUGAAGUGCUUUGUAGAUCAUGUAAAAGAAUGUAGACGAUUGAGAAACAACAAUCCUCUCAACGUAAAGGGAUAAUUAGUCGUCAUAUAUAUAAUCCACACUUUUAUGGUCAAUUUAUAUUUUUGUUUCAUCUUGGAGUAGGCGUUUUACCAAUGAUUCUUUCAAUAGAAGUUUCCGGUUAUACUUUACUUUGAUCAUCAUGUUCACAAUUUUCUUUUUCACAGAUUGUCAUGUGGAUCUAAUCUCUACUUUGUCACUGGCAUCUGAAAAGCGAAAUCUGAGAAAAAUACAAUGGAUAAGAAAGCCUCUUUGAUGAUAGUAUGUUAUUUAAAUAAUAGUAAUAAUAAUAAUAAUAAAUAGUAAAUAUAUUUCAAAAUUAUGCUAUAUUACAAAUAACAAAAAGAUAUUGCAAUCAUUCAAUUUUUUAAAAAUGUACCUUGUAGUAAGAAUUAAGGGAUAUUUUGGUUCGCGGGGGGUCGUAACGAAAAUUUGGACUAAAUUAGGCAUUAUUUUUGUUAUUAUGAGUUUGAUUAGUCAAAAUAAAUAAUCAAUAAAAAUCUAGGUAAGAAAUACAUUUCCAACAAUUUAUUCACCAAAAAUAUUUAAAUUAUGGAGUUAUGGAUAUUUUUGAAACACUAAAAUAAGUCAACAGACGACUAAUUCAGCAGUGGUUGAUCUCCAUUUGGCUUACGAACUACUGUAAAAUUCCCCAAAAUCUAGCUUCUUACACUGGUUUCGCAGAUUUAGGAGUAGAAAUACACUCCAGAGCAGAUCACGAGAUUUACUCAAACCUUGUAAUGGUACGUACCCCUCCAUCUCAAUUUUCUUCUCCAAAUCAUUCCGAUCUCUCUCUCUCUCUCUCCCCCUCCCCCUCUCCCUCCCUCUCUCUCUCUCUCUCAUACUCUCUCUCUCUAAUUGUGUUAAUUGAUUCGAUUUGUGGUGGUGAGAUCAGAUGUCGGACAAUGGAAAUCCGUCGCGGUACGUGAAGUUGACGAAAGAGCAAUCUGCUCCCACUGAAGACAUUCGUCCCGGUGAGCUUAAUCAGCCUAUCGAUGUUCCUCAGGUCUCUCUCCAUACAUUUUAUUUUAUAUGUGUGUGCAUUUUCGCUUUAACUCUUCUGUACAACAUCAGAUGAUAAUUUUUGUUUGUUAUCGGUUAGGUUGUAGACUUGUAAAUAAUAAUACUUGUAUCGUGUUGUGGUAAUUGUGGAUUUGCGGAAUUUGGUUUAUGGUUGGUACUGUAAGCUUAGGUGGUACAUUACUGUUAAAAUUGUGUGUUAUUUGAGGAUAUAACUGUGAGUUAAGGACUUACUUUAUGAUUUACAUGUGAAAAUUUGUCAAAUUAUGCUAAAAGAGUUGCUAGGGUUUCUCAGGAUUUCAAUGUAGUACGUGAUUGCUGUUUUGCUACCUACUAGUGGAAUCCGUGGUGAUAUAUGGUGGUUGGUAAUGACAUGAUUAUGGGUAUAGCCAUAUAGGCACCUGUGAUAGCAUGUACUGUUGGAUGUUCACAAAUCACACUGUUUAUGAUGGUUGCUGCUUACUAGUACUGUUGUUUUUAUACAUUCAUAGAGGAUAAAUUUAAUCGGUGUAUUAACAAAGAUCAGGAGGAGAUGAUUUUGAAGUUGGAGUAAUUAUCUUUUAUUUGAAGGCUUGCUGUUCCUUAUUCUUCUUUCCUUUUAAAAAAAAUAAUUAUUAAUAAUUGAACUGAAGCAUGUCUUAUUUCCUUAAUAAUUUGAGUAAGUUAACCGAUGCAUAUCACAAAAAGCUGUGCAACAGCAAAUUGUUACAUUUUUAGCAUAAGCUUGUUUCUGAACAUUAAGUAGUAGUCAACAAAAUCUUACCACGUGGAACUCUGCCCCUUUACAAAGGAUCCAGUGUUUUGGUGGAGUUGCUUAGUUCGUAAUUUGGUCGUGUGAUUAGCUGGAUGGCUAUAUGGAAUCUAUUGCCAACUUCUAGUUUGAAAAAAUUGCCAAAAUUUGACCAAUUGUAGCGUCUAAUUCUUAAUACUUCCAACUACAUGGAGUUUAUGUAGUUUAAUUAAAAUUUUAGCGUGUGAAUCAGUAUUCGUACUUGCCUCCUGAUUUGUUUCCUGUAUUCGUAAUAUUGUUGUUACAACACCAAGGUGCAUACAGUUAUAUAUGUUUAAUUUGGCUUCCCUGCUGUAUAUAAAAUUAAUAUUGCAGAAUGUUCUGUGUCUGAUUUGCUGUUGCACUUUAUGCACAUAAACAUGCUUUUGAUCUUUUCUGUUUUGUAAGAUCUUCUUGAGUAGAUAUGUCUGCUGUUUUCUUGUACCCUUUUAAUCACGCAAACACCCCAAGGCAGUUCUGGGAAUCACUAUGAAAAUUAAUCCUUAUCUGUUAUCUCCUUUCGUCUCCUUUUUUUGUUGUCAGCUGAAUGUUCGAAAGUGCAAUGAAUGUGGUCAACCUUUACCAGAAAGUUUUGAGUUCCCUGCUGUGGAACCUUGGUCAACCGGUAUAUUUGGUUGCACUGAAGAUACAGAUAGCUGUAAGUUUCAUGUCUACAUAUGAAUAGCAAGCUAUAACUUAAAUGAUAAAAUCGUUGUUUUUGUGUAAUUUGCAUCUCUCUUUUAUGUGGUAAUAUACUGUGGAAAGGAAGAGUACUUGGGAGAUGAUAUGGGGACUGUGGCACUAAGUGAGUACUAUAAUGUUAAUAUUGCCCCUUUAUGCAUCACAACUGACCUUAUCAUUUAAAAGAAAACUGUGAUUUUGCUUGGGGCUUUGAGUAUGGUAUGAACAUAUUGGAAGACCCUCUAUCAAUGUAUAUCUUAAUUAGUCUUAAACUAAAAUAUACACUGGGUCUUGUAUAAAUCACUCUUCUUAUCAAAGUCCACUAUGUCUCUUGAGGCAAUUUUUGUUGCGAGCAUAAUCACAUUAAUUUUCAGAACGAAACAUUUAUUUAAUAGUCCUCACAUCACCCAUCAACAGGCUGGACAGGACUCUUUUGCCCUUGUGUCUUGUUUGGGCGUAAUCUUGAAACCUUGAAGGAAGAUGUGCCUUGGAAUGGCCCUUGCCUAUGUCAUGCUAUUUUUAUUGAGGGUGGGAUUGCACUUGCAGCAGCAACAGCAAUAUUCCAUGGUAUUGAUCCGAGGACAUCAUUUCUUAUUUGUGAGGGUUUGAUGUUUAGCUGGUGGAUGUGUGGCAUAUACACUGGCCUUGUAAGGCAACAACUUCAGAAAAAAUAUCAUCUCAAGGUAAUUUUUCGUGUAAAGUUAAAAAAGAAAGGUUUUUUAAGGAACUGAUGCUUUUGAGUUCUGAGUUACUUUGCUUGCCUGACUAAAGUAAACAAAUCUUUUCUAAAUAGUGUUGUUGCAGUUGGUGAAGGUACAUGUAAAUAGAUAUUACAACUAGUAUUCUAGUAAUAAUUCACCAGACGAAAAAAAACUAGUAAUACUUCUUGCUAUUUUUGUUUCUUGUUACAGUACAUGUUUAAUGUUUUUAAUGUGUAAUGAAGUUCAAGUUUUAAGCUGCAAAGGGCUUGUCCUGAUUGGAGUUGAAUCAUUGAUAAAAAUCAAUUUCAUGCGAGAGAAGCUGAAUAUGUUUUUGAAACUUUUCAUCGUUUAUUUUGCAACCAGUUUUCAUAUAAGCUCUGUGUUCUCUGCUAAUCACUUCAGUACUGGUUAAUUAACUGCUUUGUUCUGUUUUACCUUUGCAGAACUCCCCAUGUGAUCCCUGCAUGGUGCAUUGCUGUCUGCACUGGUGCGCGUUGUGCCAAGAACAUAGGGAGAUGAAGGGACGUUUAUCAGACAAUGCUGUGAUGCCAAUGACCAUGGUGAACCCCCCUCCCGUUCAAGAGAUGAACUCAGCCACUGAGAACAGAGAAGCAGCACCUUCUGCGACAAAUGGUGGUGAGCAUACCAACUUAGAGAUGGAACCACUAUAGAAUUCUAUCUGCUCCCUAUCGUUCAGUGCAUAUGCAUGUUCGAAUACCCCUGGAUUUAGAGAAAACUAUUAUUUACUAGAGAUUGUUUACCGCUAGAAUUGUCUUUUGCAUUGCAAAAAGGUUAUUUAGAAAGGAUAUUUUUUUGAAACUGUGAUGUGUUUGCACUAUUGCUUUUUUCUGAAUAUGAAUAUAAACUAAAAUUUUGCUGGUUUAUCCCAAUUUCAAAUGUUACAAUAAAAUCUGCUUCCUUCUUAUUCCCAAAUAAACAUUGUCAAGAUUGUUAAAUAAAUAGAACUAGUACAACUUACAAGCAAGGUACUAACUUUAAAAGUUUGAAAACUAGGAUUACAGCUACAGACGACCAUUAUGCAACUACAAUAUAACUCAGGUCAUUCAUAAUACUAGGCAAAUUAAAUGAUUAAUCAACACAUUUAGACUCCAACACCAUCACCAAUGCCUUCACUCCCUUGAGGAAACACUACAUUGUCGUACAACAGCGCUGCGAUGGUUGCACCAAGCAAGGGACCAACCCAGUAAACUGCUUGAUUCUUGAAACUACCUGCAACCAGUGCUGCCCCAAACGAGUAAGCCGGGUUCAUAGAUCCACCAGUAAAAGGACCAGACGCCAACACAUUUGCCCCUGCAAUAAACCCGAUUGCCAUCGGGCCAAUGGCUGUCAUAGAACCACGCCUUGGAUCUGCGGCUGCAUAGAACGUGUAAACCAGGGCAAAUGUCAUCACGCCUUCCAGGAUCGCUGCUCCGAAUCCAGUCAUCUCAACAGGUAUUAUACCUUGCAUAGGAACAUGCUGCCAUGACCAACACAACCAUAAGGCCAUCAUCAUCAUUACAUCAAAUUACUUUCUUACAAAGGGCUGUGUAAGUGAUUUUCAAACCUGUCCUACUGUUGUAACUUUCAGAACCAGGCAAGCCAUGACAGAGCCAAGCAUCUGCGAAAUCCAGUAAAACAUCGCCAUUGGAAUACUAAUAUGCCCUCCAAUCGCCCUCCCAAAGGUCACAGCCGGAUUCACAUGGCCGCCAGAGACGCCGACUGAAACAUAAACCGCGACAACCAAGGAGAAAGCGGUUGCUACUGCACUGCCAACUAAACCAGACGGUUGUGAUGCAGCAUUUCCCAGCAACUUCUCUGCAAUUAAAACAAUAAUCACAAAAAAUUAAUCAUCAUCAUCAGUGUAAGAAAUGACAUGCAUGGCAUGGGGACUCACUCGAAGACAUUGCAGAUCCAACAGCGGCGAAAACGAAAAUGAAAGUAGAGAUGAACUCCGCAAGAUAUGAUCUAAGAGCAUUGCGAGUGACAGAAUGCUCCAAACGGCUUUUCAGAGAUGCCAUUGUAUUACACAAAUAACAACAAUGUUACUUGUUCAAAUUCUCUAGGGAAAAUAGGAUGAUUUGUUUGUUAAAUGAAUCCGGCAGAAGAUGAAAAUAAAAUCUCUAGCAAAUUUGGAAGUUACAUGGAUAUUUAUAUAUGGAAGUUGAGGUUGUUUCGGUUUAAAAUUUUCGAAAAGUAACUGCUAUGUUUCAAGGGCGCCAUUUCUACAUGGGUGUGGGCUUGCAGUUGUGACAGUUAUCCUAUGCUUCCCAAAGUUUGCGUAUAACUUUCUGGACUCUGGUGAACUGAAGGCCCAAGUACAGCCCAAUAACCAAUCAACAAUAGAUAUUUGGUCCAGCAAAAUGCUGUCCAAAAUCCAAAUAUACGGUAAUUUUUUGAUUAUUCGUUUAUAAAAUCGAAAUCCAUUAACACACCAAUAAUGCUAUCAAAACUUGAUGGAAUCAAUUAAACAUAUAUUUGGUCAUUAAUUUGAUUAAUAAAGUUAUAAACUACUGCUAUAUAAAUAAAAUUCACAGAAUUAUUUUAUUUGUUAGAACUAAUUAUUUAUUUUAAUUUGUAACUAUCAUAUAAAAAGUAGAAAGGUAAACAAGUUUUCUUAUAUAAUAAUAAAUAAAUUAUAUUAAUAAUUGAAGAAUCUUAAUUUUUAUAUAUAUAUAUAUAUAUUAAAUAAAUUGUUUUUAUACUAAUAAAAUAAUUAAUGGAGUCAAGAGGCGUGUGAGUGAUUCCAUUCGAUCAAUAAAAUUAAAAUAACAAAAAUUAUUACACACACUUCCCAGCUGCUUAUCACUGUCACUCUCGCAGGGAGAGAUCUACCACCGUCAGCGUUUCGCAUCUCCUACAGCCAAUCUUCUCUCUGUCUCCACAUAUACAUACAUGUAUGUAUCUCUACGUCUAUUCAAUUACUCAAUUUUUCUAUAUUUUUCUUAUAUUGCUUAAUUUGAUUAGCUCAUUAUAACAGAUCUUAUGUUUUUUUAUAUAUAUUUAUAUUCUGCAUCUAUAUAUUCAGAUUUUGACUUGUUAUACAGCUCAACAAUUGUGUUGCUGGUUUGUGAUAUUGUGGAUCAAUUGUGAUCAUUUCAAUUUUAGGUUUGUUUUUGGUGUAGCUGCCGUGUUUCGGGCUAUUAGGACUUGCUAAAUUGUUGUGUUUGAUUAACUUGGUGAAAAAAAUUUAAAAUGCUAUAUCGUCGAGACGAAUAUUUAUAAGAGGAGUAAUGAGAGAUCAUGGCAGACUGUAUUGUAUAUUAUGGCGAUUUUCCAUAGGUUUAGCAGGACUAGUUGAAGCUUUGAAAGGUCUUCGAUAAUAGGCCUCACUAUUUUAAAAGUCUUUUCUAAUUAAAACACAUUUAACAUUUUAAUUAUUCUGAUUAUUAUAAAAACCUGUUCUAAUUGAAAAAACAUGCUCCUAUUUUAAUAUAAAACAUUGAAGUACAAAUAAUAAUAUGAUAGUAUACUUUAAAAGUAAAAACCUAGACUAGUUGUAACACCCAGUCCCGCAUCGAGGAGUGUGGAGACUUUAGUUUAGUUCUUAAGCAUAAUAACUACUACCAAUUGCACCAACAAAUCAUGAUCUAUUGGAGCGCUAUGUGGGCCAGUGUAUUUCGGCACCCUAGUUGUCACAAGAAAAGUGCUAGCUCUUGAUGUAAGUUCUCUAGUUUGGAAUUGAUACAAUCACGCUGAGUAUAAGGCUCCUUGUUCGGGAUCUUGUGUACUGCUAUUAAUUUAUGCUCUGGCAGGGAAGAUUUCAGGCCAUCGUGGUGGCUUCUAGUACAAGACCACUUUCAUUUUUUCAAAAAAAUUGUUUUGUUAUUUUGUGUCAAUAUUGUCCUUGUACAUAGAGUUGGCGUUAAAUAAUUUAUUUUUCAGAUUUAGAUGUCCGGCGAUGUGGAAAACCCUAAAGGUGAAGCCCAGAAAGUUUCAGUUUCUUCUUCCCUUGUCAUUGAGCCCCAAACAACAUGGUAUAGUAGCUUUCUCCAGCAUGUAUCAGUUUAUGGUAUAGCUGCUGGAUAUUGCCUGUCAGCAUCAUUGCUCUCCAUCAUCAACAAAUGGGCUGUUAUGAAAUUUCCUUACCCUGGAGCAUUGACUGCCUUGCAGUACUUCACAAGUGCAGCUGGCGUCUUUGUUUUAGGUUCCCUUAAGAUAUUGGAGCAUGAUAAGCUUGAUCUACUGACAAUGUGGCGAUUCCUACCAGCAGCAUUUAUUUUCUAUCUCUCUCUCUUUACAAACAGUGAGCUUCUUCUCCAUGCCAAUGUCGAUACCUUCAUUGUCUUCCGUUCAGCAGUUCCAAUUUUUGUAGCGAUAGGAGAGACCCUUUACUUGCACCAGCCGUGGCCUUCAAUGAAGACAUGGUUCUCAUUAGCCACGAUCUUUGGUGGUAGUGUUCUAUAUGUCCUAACCGAUUACCAAUUUACUCUCAUGGCUUAUAGUUGGGCACUGGCUUACCUGAUAAGCAUGUCCAUAGAUUUUGUUUACAUUAAGCAUGUGGUUAUGACUAUUGGUUUAAACACAUGGGGCCUUGUGUUGUACAACAAUCUUGAGGCUCUGCUAUUGUUUCCACUCGAGCUACUUGUAAUGGGGGAGUUAAAGAAGAUAAAACAUGAAAUAACUGAUGAGUCAGAUUGGUAUUCCUUUCAAGUGGUUUUGCCUGUAGGACUGUCAUGUUUGUUUGGUUUAGCUAUCUCCUUCUUUGGUUUUUCUUGUCGGAAGGCAAUUUCUGCAACUGGAUUUACCGUUCUUGGGAUAGUGAACAAACUUUUGACAGUAGUUAUAAAUCUUGUUAUCUGGGAUAAACAUUCGACAUUUGUGGGGACAAUAGGGCUUUUGAUUUGCAUGUCGGGUGGUGUUAUGUAUCAGCAGUUCAGUAGCACUAAGCCUAAGGCUGCAAAAGAUGUAGAGGUUCAAGAGAGCAAGGAGGAACAACAAAAGCUCCUUGAAAUGCAAAGCAGCUCGGAAAACACAGGCAAUGAGAAGCAAGAUACAGAUUCAAGAGAGGAAAAAUGAUAACAUAAUUUUACAGUUGAAUUGCAUUCUUUUGUUGCUAAUCUAUAGAUCACAAUACCAGUGUUAUGUCUGGAAAGUCUUGUCAUAUACAUCAAACAGAAACAAUGUGAAUGAAGCCUGGAUUGCAUAUGAGAAUGUGUGAGGUUGGUACUCAGGUAAGAGGUGAAAGGAUAGCCUUACUCUUGUUCAGUGACCAGUGGGCACCAGGCUGCUGCUCAUAUCAUAUUUGAUAUACUUCUUCAUCCUUGUGUAGGCAUAGUUUACUGAAAUGUUUUGUUGAUAACUCAGAUUCUAAAUAUGAUUAGUGAUGUAGGAACUGUAUCUGGUUUUUUUCUGUUCUCUGGAUCAUAUCUGUAUGGUUAGCUGGAAUGAUAUGAACCAGGGUAAGUAAAAUACUCCAGUUUCAGUAUACACACUAUCCUUAAAUCUUAAAUUUAUAUUCGAUUGUAAUUCGUAUAUUAACUGUAGUUUUUUCCUUGUUUAUAUAUUGAAAGAAUGCCCAAACAUUGAUUGUAGAAUUUAUUUGUUUUUAUCUAGUUCUUCAGUUAAUAUGGAAGUGAAUUGGAAAGACAAUUGUGGAGAUGUAGUAGUCUCGUAUCCAGAGCUCCCGUCACGGAGAGAAAUGUGUGCAUGUGAAGUGGAACGGAGUAUGCACUCUUCUUGUGAGAAAUAAUAAUACUAACAAUAAUAAUAGUAUAUGAACAUCCAAUGUAUGUGGCAUGUCAAUUGCUUGUCUUUGUGUGCGAUCAGAUAAAAUUUCUCAUUCACGGUUAACUCUAACAAUGGGAGUGCAAGUGCUAUUGUGUUUGAACUAGUUUAAGGUAUAGAGUUGCAAAGAUUCAAUGUAUACAUAAAGGGUACUAGUCUGGAGAGGGUCCUGGUUCUCGGCACUGUGUAUGUUGGGAUCUUUUAUAAAACAUAUAUUGUUGUUUUGUGUUGGUGUUGGAUAAAUAACUCAGUGAUCAGGAAUAACAUUUUUUUAACAUGUUUAAUAUUUUUUAGACGGGUAGAAGUCCACUGUUUUUUAACCACGGGAUAGAUAAAAUAUUCAUUUUGAUCUUGUAGCUAAAAAAAAUUGUUGAACGAACAAAUAAUCAUUUUACCUCGUUCUACACACAGUAGUCUAAGAACACAAAACACAUUAAAAAAAUAUAUAUUAUAAUCUUGAUCAAUAAAUAUAUCCCACGGUCAAAUUACUGUAUAUUGUAUAAAAGAUCCCUAGCAUACACUUGUUGGAAAAGAUGGUCCUAAAAACACAAAAUAUCUAGAAGGUGUAAUUAUGAGAUGACCAACAUUCAGAUAGCUAGUCGGGUCAUGAGAUGACAACUAAAUGGUCACCGACCACGUUAUAAUUCCUAAUUGAAUUUUAAAAAAUAGAAAAGCUAUAUUUAUUACAUGCUUAUGUUUUCUGAUGAGUGUAAUGUUUUAUUUUUUAAUUAAAUGUCAUUGUUUUCAUUAUAUAUAUAUCUAUAUAAUUCUUAAAGCAUGAGUCAUUUUUUAAGGCUGCUUUGGUAAUUUCACUUUCUCUUGGAUCAACCCAUUAAGCUUCGGAUCGACCCGGCAGCUUUCUCAUUCAACUUAACACUAUGAAAGAAUAUUCCGGGUUUUUUUAUUAAAUACAGAUGAUGAUCCGAAGUUUAUCAAAUCAUUAUGUUCUAUUAAAUAUUUGGUUAUUGUAAUGAUAUUAAUGAAAAAUCUAUUCCGUUAUAAAAUCAAUACAGAAUCUAUUCCAUUAUAGAUAUUUAUCACGUAUAUUCUCUUAGUAUCAAUUUCAAUAUAGGCAAUAAUUAUAGCAUUAUAUAAUUUUAGUAAUGUAACUAAAUUAUGAAUACAUAUGUAUUCCCUAAUUGAUGUAUUACUUUAAGGUUAAUUAUUUCUUAACAUAUUUAUCAAUUUUUAUUAAGGACGGGGGGAAACUCUAUCAUCAGCAUAUUCACCUUAAUUUUAUAAUUGAGGAAUGGAUGGAAGCUCUGUAAUCUGCAUAAUCAGGUUAAGUUAAUAAUUAUAUAUAUUUCUAAAUACAAAGAUUUAUAUAGUCCGCGUCGUUAUAAUUUCUGUUGCGUGAUUUUAUUUAUUCAAUCGACAUUUGUAUAUAUUAUUUUUAACAUCUACAACGUACUGUUCGCUAAUAACAAAACUCGAGUAUUUUGACUCUUACGUACGUUGCUUUCAUAACUUAUAUCUCAUAUCAUACUGUUUGUUAAUAAAAAUGUAUAGGUUAACUCGAUAAAAAAACAAAAAACAUANNNNNNNNNNNNNNNNNNNNNNNNNNNNNNNNNNNNNNNNNNNNNNNNNNNNNNNNNNNNNNNNNNNNNNNNNNNNNNNNNNNNNNNNNNNNNNNNNNNNNNNNNNNNNNNNNNNNNNNNNNNNNNNNNNNNNNNNNNNNNNNNNNNNNNNUAAUUCUUAAAGCAUGAGUCAUUUUUUAAGGCUGCUUUGGUAAUUUCACUUUCUCUUGGAUCAACCCAUUAAGCUUCGGAUCGACCCGGCAGCUUUCUCAUUCAACUUAACACUAUGAAAGAAUAUUCCGGGUUUUUAUGCGACCCACCCGAUUUCCACUGGGCAUGCAGCAAGUUCCUGCCAUAUCAGGAGCGUGGCAUUUAUUGCUGUUCCAUUGAUCAAGCCACUCAUUGAGCUUUUUGGAUCUCAUAGCAUCUUCCAACCAUAUGAGAGUUUGAAAAAGUCAUUGAAUUCGGUUCCUCCAAUCAUGACACUCAUUACUACGUCUAAUUGAUUUCAAAUUCAAACAUGAUAAUUAAUCAUAACAAAUCCGUGCUUAUUUAUCUAAAUCAAUCUCUUCCUCCUCCAUUAUGCUCUCUGCUAUUUUUUAUUUAAAAUUCGAAAUUCUUAUUAUCUACUUGCAUCUGUAAUCAUUUGAUCAUUUUUUUCUCUCUCGAUUUGUAGAGUGUAUGGUAGUAACAUUUAUUUUAUAUUGCAGUGAUAACGGUGGUCGUGUUUUUUUAGCAUGAAGACGGAUUCAACGUCGUCAACAGGUUUUGCAAUCCUUUCUAUGAUAAUGUUGCAGUAUCGAAAUCCUCGAUUAUAAUCGUAAAAUUUUGUUUCUGCAGGUGUGAAAGAAAUGUACAUGGAUCGUGGUAAAAGUGUUGAGACAAUUUCCAAGAAUCAAAAAAAAGCACAUACAUCAGGUAAUUGAUUUCCGCACUAGAGUAAAGUUUUCAUACGCAUUCAUUUUCAAGAUACAGUACUCUUGGUCUUGGUUCCUCAAAAGUCUUGGACGCGAUCGUAUUGUCGUUAACGUCUUCAUGUAGAAUCAUUAGUGUGAUAUACAACAAUUUGUAAUAAGUUUGUGUCUGUUAUUAAUUAAUAGGUAUUCUCAUGUGGGGAGCUCAUAUGAUUCACCUAAUAUUGGAUUAAGGUAGUUAUUGGGUGAAAGUUUGGAAAGCUGGAGAGGCCUUUUUUGAAAGUAUACGACCUCCACAUAUGGGAUUGUGGCUUAGCAUUGGUGUAUGUUCUAUUUUUUUGUAUUUUUGUUCCAGUUUUUAAGUUUUUUAUAUUGUAUAGAUGACAUGAUAUUUUGUAAUUAAUUUUUUUGACAUUAUUUUUGCAUAAUUUCCUUUCGUAUUGAUAGUGAUUAUGAUGCAUAUAUGUCCACUAAUGCAUUUAUUGAUCCUUUUUUUAUGAUUGAGUUUUCCUUGCAGCUGCUGAAAAGAGAUGAUUCGUCCAGGCCACUAUCGGAUGCUCACCGUGUGAAGAUUUAUAUUCACUUUUUCUCAACAUCUGAUCAAGGCUUUUUGUUUACUUCUUAUUGCGUGUCAUUGUAUUUUGACAAGAGACACCGAGAAUGAAUACGACCCAAUUUCCGUCCAGAUACAUGAAUCUAGCCUACUAUAACUCAUAUGUGUAUAAGGAAAUGUUGUCAAAAUAUAUUUGAUUUUCGAUGAUUUUGGCAUUAAUUCUUUUUUGUAUAAUAUGUAGUGGUUUCCAUAUUCACUAUAUUCAAUUUUCAAAUCUAGACCUUUUGUUAUAAUUUCAAAUUAAUGGAGUACUUUUUCACUUCACAAUUUUAGCUCUCGAUAAGAAAGUUUUUAUAUAUUAGAUUUUUAAAUAUUCGGAUACAUAGAUCUAGACUGUUAUAGCUCAUAUGCAAAUAGGGAAGUCAAACUUUAUUUGAUUUUCAUUGAUGUUGACAUUAAUUACUAAAAUACCAUUUACAUUUAAUGUUUGUGGUUUCCACGUUCAUUAUAUUUAAAUUUUCAAAUCAAGACUUUUUGUUAUAAUUUCAAAUUAAUAGAGUUUUUUUUCACUCCAUAAUUUUAGAUCUUGAUAAAAAAGUUUUUAUAUAUUUGACCUUUUAAAUUUUUGGAUACAUGAGUCUAUCAUGCUAUAACCCAUAUGUAAAUAAGGAAAAAUAGUCGAAUUUUAUUUUAUUUAACUGAUUUUGGCCGUUAUUAUUACAAUCCUUUUUUGUAUAAUAUAUAUUGGUUUCCAUAUUCAAUACAUUUAAUUUUCAAAUCAAGACUUUUGAUAUUUUUAUAUAUUAAUUAUUAUUUUUGAAUAUUUUCUGAUACAUGGAUAUAGACUGCUAUAAUUCAUAGCAAAAAAGGAAACGUAGUCAAACAUAAUUUGAUUUCCACUUUUUUUAGCAUUUAAUAUUACAAAACUUUUUCGUAUAAUUUGUGCAGUUUUCAUAUUUACUAUAUUCAAUUUUCAGAUGGACUUUUUGUUUUAAUUUCCGAUUAAUGGAGUAUUUUUUUUCACUUCACAAUUUUAACUCUUGAUAAAGAAGUUUCUAUAUAUUAGACUUUUAAAAUUUUCAGAUACAUGAAUCUAGCCUGCUAUAACUUAUAUGUAAAUAAGGAAAAAUAGUCAAAUUUUAUUUGAUUUUCAAUAAUUUUGGCAUUUAUUAUUACAAUCCAUUUUUGUAUAAAAUGUGGUGGUUUACAUAUACACUAUAUUUAAUUUUCAAAUCAAAACUUUUUGUUAUAAAUUCAAAUUAAUGGAGUCUUUUCUCAUUCCAUAAUUUCAGCUCUUGAUAUAUAAGGAAGUAUUCAUACACUCGGUUUUACAAAUUUUCGAUACAUGAAUCUGGACUGUAAUAGGAAGUCAAACUUCAUUUGAUUUCCACAGAUUUUGACAUUUAUUACUACAACAAUACUUUUUCGUUUAAUUUAUACAGUUUUCAUGUUCAUUACAUUCAAUUUCCAGAUCAAGAAUUUUUGUUAUAAUUUCAUUAUUAAUAGAGCAUUUUUUUUUCAUACCUGUGUGUGUAGCACGGGCCAAAAUGCUUAAAUAAUUUUCAUGUGGUAAUAAAUGAGCAUAUUUUUAUUUAAAUAAAUUAACAAUAAAAUUUUUUACAUGCGGUUUAUUAUAAUUUUUUGUUAUUCUAUUCAAGAUACGAGGUGUUGCCAUUAGGCGACAACGAGAAAUUUUAAUUAUAUAGUCAUUACUAUUUUCAUGUCUUUUAUAAAUAUUUUUGAAAAAAAUUUAUUUUUUAAUUAUUUUAACUAUACAAUUAAUGAUUUAAUAAUAGAUCCAUAAACUUAUAAAUUUUUAUUCCAAACAUAAAUUAUUAUUAUUAUAUUAAAAUUUGGUUAUAUUAAUGAUACUAAUGAAAAAUCUGUUCCGUUAUAAAAUCGAUACAGAAUCUAUUCCAUUAUUGAUAUUUAUGACGUAUAUAUUCUUAUUGUCAAUUUCUAAUAUAGACAAUAAUUGUAGCAUAUAAUUUUGGUAAUGUAACUCAAUUAUGACUACAUAUGUAUUUCUUUUUUUUUUUUAAAUCACACAUGUAUUUCUUUAUUGAUUAUUCCUUCAAGGUUAAUUAUUUUUUAACAUGUUUAUUAAUUUUUACUAAGGACGGGAGGAAACUCUAUCAUCAGCAUAUUCACUUUGAUUAAUGAUACUAAUGAAAAAUCUAUUACGUUGUCUUUCAUAACUUAUAUCUCAUAUCAUACUGUUUUUUAAUAAAAAAAUAUAUAGCUUAACUGGAAAAAAAAACAAAAAAAAUCCUAUUUGUGUACGUAGCACGGGCUAAAAUGCUAUGAGCAUUUUUUUAUUUGAAUUAAAAUUUGAUAGAUGAGCAUCGUUUUAUUCAAAUAACUUAACAAUAAAAUUCUUUGCAUACAGUUUAUUAUUAUUUUUUGCUAUUUUAUUUAAGGUAUGAGGCAUCGCCGUUAGGCGACGCCGAGAAACUUUAAUUAUAUAAUCAUUACUAUUUUCAUGGCUUAAAUAAUUUUCAUGUGGUAAUAAAUGAGCAUAUUUUUAUUUAAAUAAAUUAACAAUAAAAUUUUUUACAUGCGGUUUAUGAUAAUUUUUUGUUAUUCUAUUCAAGAUACGAGGUGUUGCUAUUAGGCGACAACGAGAAAUUCUAAUUAUAUAGUCAUUACUAUUUUCAUGUCUUUUAUAAAUAUUUUUGAAAAAAAAUUAUUUUUUAAUUAUUUUAACUAUAAAAUUAAUGAUUUAAUAAUAGAUCCAUAAACUUAUAAAUUUUUAUUCCAAACAUAAAUUAUUAUUAUUAUAUUAAAAUUUGGUUAUAUUAAUGAUACUAAUGAAAAAUCUGUUCCGUUAUAAAAUCGAUACAGAAUCUAUUCCAUUAUUGAUAUUUAUGACGUAUAUAUUCUUAUUGUCAAUUUCUAAUAUAGACAAUAAUUGUAGCAUAUAAUUUUGGUAAUGUAACUCAAUUAUGACUACAUAUGUAUUUCUUUUUUCUUUUUAAAUCACACAUGUAUUUCUUUAUUGAUUAUUCCUUCAAGGUUAAUUAUUUUUUAACAUGUUUAUCAAUUUUUACUAAGGACGGGAGGAAACUCUAUCAUCAGCAUAUUCACUUUAAUUAAUGAUACUAAUGAAAAAUCUAUUACGUUGUCUUUCAUAACUUAUAUCUCAUAUCAUACUGUUUGUUAAUAAAAAAAUGUAUAGCUUAACUGGAAAAAAAAACAAAAAAAUCCUAUCUGUGUACGUAGCACGGGCUAAAAUGCUAUGAGCAUUUUUUUUUUUGAAUUAAAAUUUGAUAGAUGAGCAUCGUUUUAUUCAAAUAACUUAACAAUAAAAUUCUUUGCAUACAGUUUAUUAUUAUUUUUUGCUAUUUUAUUUAAGGUAUGAGGCAUCGCCGUUAGGCGACGCCGAGAAACUUUAAUUAUAUAAUCAUUACUAUUUUCAUGUUUUUUUAUAAAUAUUUUAGAUAAAAAUUACUUAAUAUUUUUUUAUUAUUUUAACUAUACAAAUAAUGAUUUAAUAAUAUAUCCAUAAACUUAUAGAUUUUUAUUCCAAACAUGAAAUACUAUUAUUAUAUCAAAUAUUUGAUUAUAUUAAUGAUAUUAAUGAAAAAUAUAUCCCGUUAUAAAUAUUUAUCAAUUUUUAUUAAGGACGGGAGGAAACUCUAUCAGCAGCAUAUUCACCAUAAUUUUAUAAUUAAGGAAUGGAAGGAAGCUUUAUAACUUGCAUAACUGGGUUAAGUUUAUUGUUAUUUAUGUUUCAAAAUACAAAAAUUUAUAUAGUUCGCGUCGUUAUAAUUUCUGUUGUGUGACUUUAUUUUUUUCAUUCGACAUUCGUAUAUAUUACCUUUAACAUCUACAGCGUAUUGAUCGCCAAUAACAUAACUCGGGUAUUUUGACUGUUACCUACGCUGCCUUUCUGAACUUAUAUCUCAUAUCAUACCGUUUGUCAAUAAAAAAAUGUAUAGUUUAACUACAUAAAAAAAUCAAAAAAUCAUACCCGUGUGCAUAGCACGGGCCAAAAUGCUAUGAGCAUAUUUUUAUUGAAAUAAAAAUUUGAUAAAAGAGCAUAUUUUUAUUUAAAUAACUUGACAAUAAAAAAUUUUACAUACGGUGUACUAUAAUUUUUUGUUAUUUUAUUUAAGAUUCGAGGAGUCGCCGUUAGGCGACGCCGAGAAAUUUUAAUUCUAUAGUCGUUAUUAUUUUGGUGUCUUUUAUAAAUAUUUUAGAAAAUAAUACCUGAUAUUUUUGAUUAUUUAACAAUACAGAUAAUGAUUUGAUAAUAGAUCCAUAAAGUUAUAAAUUUUUAUUCCAAACAUGAAAUAUUAUUAUUAUAUUAAAUAUUUGAUUAUAUUAAUGAUACUAAUUAAAAAUCUAUUCCGUUAUAAAAUCAAUACAGAAUCUAUUCCAUUAUAAAUAUUUAUCACGUAUAUCUUUUUAUUAUCAAUUUUCAAUAUAAGCAAUAAUCGUAGCAUAUAAUUGUAGUAAUCUAACUGAAUGAUGACUACAUAUGUAUUUCUUUAUUGAUGUAUUACCUUAAAGUUAUUUAUUUCUUAACCUAUUUAUCAAUUUUUAUUAAGGAAGGGAGGAAACUCUAUCAUUUGCAUAUUCAUCUUAAUUUUAUAAUUAAGGUAUGGAUGGAAGCUUUAUGAUACGCAUAAUCAGGUUAAGUUUAUAAUCAUUUAUGUUUCUAAACACAAAGAUUUAUAUCGUCCGCGUCAUUAUAAUUUUUGUUGCGUGAUUUUAUUUUUUUUCAAUCGACAUUCGUAUAUAUUAUGCUUAACAUCUACAACGCACUGAUCGUCAAUAACAUAACUCGAGUAUUUUGACUCUUACAUACGUUGUCUUUCAUAACUUAUAUCUUAUAUCAUACUGUUUAUUAAUAAAAAAUGUAUAGUUUAACUAGACUAAAAAACAAAAAAUUAUAUCCGUGUGCGUAGCACGGGCCAAAAUGCUACGAGUAUAUUUUUAUUUAAAUAAAAAUUUCAUAAAUGAGCAUAUUUUCAUUUAAAUAACUUCACAAUAAAAAUUUUACAUAUAGUUUAUUAUAUUUUUUGUUAUUUUAUUUAACAUUCGAGGCGUCGCUUUUAGACGACACCGAGAAAUUUUAAUUAUACAAUCAUUACUAUUUUCAUAUCUUUUAUAAAUAUUUUGGAACAUAUUACCUAAUAUUUUUGAUUAUUUAACUAUACAAAUAAUGAUUCGAUAAUAGAUCCACUCAAUUUUCAAAUCUAGACCUUUUGUUAUAAUUUCAAAUUAAUGGAGUACUUUUUCACUUCACCAUAAUUAAAAAUCUAUUCUGGUAUAAAAUCAAUACAGAAUCUAUUUCAUUAUAGAUGUUUAUCGCGUAUAUCUCUUCUUAUUAUCAAUUUUCAUUACAGGCAAUAAUCGUAGCAUAUAAUUUUAGUAAUGUAACUGAAUUAUGACUACAUAUGUAUUCCUUUAUUGAUGUAUUACCUUAAGGUUAAUUAUUUCUUAACUUAUUUAUCAAUUUUUAUUAAGGAAGGGAGAAUACUCUAUCAUUUGCAUAUUCACCUUAAUUUUAUAAUGAAGUAUGGAUGGAAGAAUUAUAAUACGCAUAAUCAGGUUAAGUGUUUAUAAUUAUUUAUGUUCUAAAUACAAAGAUUUAUAUAGUCCGCGUCCUCAUAAUUUCUGUUGCAUGAGUUUAUUUUUUUUCAAUCGAUAUUUGUAUAUAUUAUCUUUAACAUCUACAACCAACUGAUCGUCAAUAACAUAACUCGAGUAUUUUGACUCUUACAUACGUUGCCUUUCAUAACUUAUAUCCCAUAUUAUACUGUUUGUUAAUAAAAAAUGUAUAGUUCAACUAGAUAAAAAAACAAAAAAUCAUACUCGUGCGCGUAGCAAGGGCCAAAAUGCUACGAGUAUAUUUUUAUUUAAAUAAAUUUUUCAUAAAUGAGCAAAUUUUCAUUUAAAUAACUUAACAAUAAAAUUUUUACAUAUAAUUUAUUAUAUUUUUUGUUAUUUUAUUUAAGAUUCGAGGCAUCGCCAAGAAAUUUUAAUUUUAUAGUCAUUACUAUUUUUAUGUCUUUUAUAAAUAUUUUAGAAACAAUUACCGAAUAUUUUUUUAUUAUUUUAACUAUACAAAUAAUGAUUUGAUCAUAGAUCCAUGAAGAUUUAAAUUUUUAUUCCAAACACGAAAUAUUAUUACAUUAAAUAUUUGGUUAUUAUAUUAAUGAUACUAAUGAAAAAUCUAUUCCGUUAUAAAAUCAAUGCAGAAUCUAUUCCAUUGUAGAUAUUUAUGAUGUAUAUCCUCUUAUUAUCAAUUUUCAAUAGGCAAUAAUUAUAGCAUAUGUAUAGUUUUAGUAAUGUAACUGAAUUAUGACUACAUAUGUAUUCCUUUAUUGAUGUAUUACUUUAAGGCUAAUUAUUUCUCAACAUAUUCACCUUAAUUCUAUAAUUAAGGAAUGGAUGGAAGUUUUAUAAUACGCAUAAUCAGGUUAAGUUUAUAAUUAUUUAUGUUUCUAAAUUCAAAGAUUUAUAUAGUCCGUGUCGUCAUAAUUUCCGUUGUGUGAUUUUUUUUUUAAAUUGACAUUCGUAUAUAUUAUUUUUAACAUUUGCAACGUAUUGAUCGUCAAUAACAUAACUCGAGUAUUUUGAAUGUUACAUACGUUAGUUUUCAUAACUUCUAUCUCAUAUCAUACUGUUUGUUAAUAAAAAAUUUAUGGUUUAACUAGAUAAAAAAAAAAUCAUACCCGUGUGCGUAGCACGGGCGAAAAUGCUACAUGUAUAUUUUUAUUUAAAUAAAUUUUUCAUAAAUUAGAAAAUUUUCAUUUAAAUAACUAAACAAUAAAAUUUUUACAUAUAGUUUAUUAUAGUUUUUGUUGUUUUAUUUAAGAUUCGAGGCGUCGCCAUUAGGCGACGCUGAGAAAUUUUAAUUAUAUAGUCAUUACUAUUUUUCAUAUCUUUUAUAAAUGUUUUAGAAACAAUUAUCGAAUAUUUUUUUAUUAUUUUAACUAUACAAAUAAUGAUUUGAUCAUAGAUUCAUGAACAUAUAAAUUUUUAUUCCAAACAUGAAAUAUUAUUAUUAUAUUAAAUAUUUGGUUAUUGUAAUGAUAUUAAUGAAAAAUCUAUUCCGUUAUAAAAUCAAUACAGAAUCUAUUCCAUUAUAGAUAUUUAUCACGUAUAUUCUCUUAGUAUCAAUUUUCAAUAUAGGCAAUAAUUAUAGCAUUAUAUAAUUUUAGUAAUGUAACUAAAUUAUGAAUACAUAUGUAUUCCCUAAUUGAUGUAUUACUUUAAGGUUAAUUAUUUCUUAACAUAUUUAUCAAUUUUUAUUAAGGACGGGAGGAAACUCUAUCAUCAGCAUAUUCACCUUAAUUUUAUAAUUGAGGAAUGGAUGGAAGCUCUGUAAUCUGCAUAAUCAGGUUAAGUUAAUAAUUAUAUAUAUUUCUAAAUACAAAGAUUUAUAUAGUCCGCGUCGUUAUAAUUUCUGUUGCGUGAUUUUAUUUUUUCAAUCGACAUUUGUAUAUAUUAUUUUUAACAUCUACAACGUACUGUUCGCUAAUAACAAAACUCGAGUAUUUUGACUCUUACGUACGUUGCUUUCAUAACUUAUAUCUCAUAUCAUACUGUUUGUUAAUAAAAAUGUAUAGGUUAACUCGAUAAAAAAAACAAAAAACAUACACGUUUGCGUAGCACGAGACAAAAUGCUAAUAAACAUUUAAAAUUCUAUAAUAUAAAACUCAUAAUAAAUAAUUUGACUGCGCUGAUUACCCGCCAGAUUUGGGGUUAAUCACGACAUAAAGUAUAGAUUAAGUUUUUUUUUUUAAAAGCAAAGUAUAGAUUAAGUCGAUAAAAAUCAAAGAAUCAAUACCCGUGUGCGUAGCACGGGCAAAAAAGCUAGUUUUCAUAUAAUGUUUGAAUACCAUGCAAAACAUUUAUAAUAGCUAAUUAAAAGAGUAGUGCCACUUUCGGAAGACGAUUUCUUCAAUAAUAACAAGUCUAUCAAAUGUGUGUCCAUAAAUUGUUUUCAUGUUCUGCUACUCGCAUAAUGUGGUUGCCGUUACCUUCGAUGUGUUUCACGACGAUCUUCUUCGAAACUUACAUCCCACAGAUGUUCUGCAAAUGAUUAUUUUGCAUUGGUUGUUCUAAAAAAUAAAAAGAUUACUUGUUUACGCUCGAUUUUGAUGGACACAAACCUCAACUCAUUGCGUUAUAUAGAGUGCUUUGACUUAUUGCAUCACUGUUUGCACUUGUUCUGCUUUACUGUUUAUAUCUCGAAAAAUUUUGGACUUAAUUUGGGGGAGAAAGUUUAGGAUAUCAGUCGACUUGUAACGUGAAUUAAAUGUCGUAUAUUACGUGAUUUUUGUUUUACAGGUGUACGGUUGAUACGAGUACAAUACACGGGAAAUUAUCUAGUAAUUAUAAAGUUAUGAAAAAAUGAUCAUAUGUCUUUCAAAUCUCCGUCCAUUAUUGUUUUAAUAUAAGAUCGUAAGAUAUGAUCUUCAACUCCUCUAGAUGACUUAGUCUCCAAAAAGCCCAAUAAACAUCUAAAUAGGGUGAUUUGGUUUAAUAUGUUGAUUAAUAAAGGAAACGGCCGUUUUUGUGUUAAAAAAGUCGAGAAUAAAAUAUCAAUCAACUUUUAAAUUUGGGAGGUCGAAGAGAAACAUUAAACAAUUUCUAGAUUCGCCGAAUUUAUUAAUACGUUUUUAACUAGGAGUUUGAUCAAUUCAAAGAUCAACCAAAUAUAAGAAAAUGUCAACCAAUUAUUAGAUUGAUCAAAUCUACGAGUACUGUAUUGAUUUGGAAUUUUGAUUGAUCAAUAUGAUACGUCCAUAGGAGAAUAUGAUGAAAUAAUAGAACAUAAUCAAUAAACUAAGUGAUUGGAGUAUACGUAAACUCGUUAACAUUUAAUGUAAAAGACGUCACAUGCAUAUUCGUGUGACGUUUUUCUUCAUAUUAAAUACGGUUUAUCUUAUUUCAUAGUAUAAUUUUCCAUUCAAUAUUCAUCAGCUGUUUUUGUUUUAUAUCUGAUUUGAAUACGAAUGAAGAACUCACUUCGAUAUUAAUAAUGUAAUUAUAUAUUAUAAUGAUAAUAUAAUUUUUUCCCGUCAUAAAUCACUCUUUCUAACCUUUUUUUUUUGAAACCACUCUUUCUAAUUUUAAAUAAUUAUCUUUUAAAAUAUGUCAGUAUAUAAAAACACAGUUAGAUUUUAAAUAUUGAAAUUACGGAAACCAUUAAGUUUAAAAUAUGAUAAAAAGUUUAUUUAUAAUUUUAACGAAACAAGAAACCAUGUGUUGAAAAUUAGGGAUGACAAUGAUCCUAAAAAACAAGAGUGGUACACAUAACACAAUCCCGUUUUAAAACUCGAAAAUAAACAGCUAACACCGAACUGUAUCCACCCGGCCGACCCGUAUCAAAUUUCCUAAGAUCCGUUGACUUUCGUAAUUUUGGUCAAUUAACCAAACAGCUACUUCCCGCUCGCCCAUUCGAAUUUGCAAAUACUACCAAAAUUUUCGAACCAUCUCUCUCGCUUUCGCCUUCAUCUCUCUCCGUCUCAAUUCUUUCCCACCUAUACACAUAUACGAACACACAUACACACAUAUAUAUAUACAUACACACAUAUAUACCGCAGCCUUUCAAUACUCUCCCCCCCGCUCUCUCUCUCUCUCUCUCUCUCUCUCUCUCUCUCUCUCUCUCUCCCUCUCUCCCUCUCUCCCCCCCUACACACAAGCAACGCGUAUGUACACAAUCCCCCAAAUCUAGGGUUUCGAAUUUCACAACUAAUUUUGUGUUUUUUCAAAUUCAAUCUGAAGAUGCACAUUAAAGAAGUGACCUUAGAGGGAUUCAAAUCCUACGCGACACGGACAGUUGUUCCGGGUUUCGAUCCGUACUUCAAUGCCAUAACGGGGUUAAACGGUUCGGGCAAAUCGAACAUUCUCGAUUCGAUUUGUUUUGUUCUGGGGAUUACUAAUUUGCAGCAAGUGAGGGCUUCUAAUCUUCAGGAACUUGUUUAUAAGCAAGGUCAAGCUGGGAUUACCAAAGCAACUGUCUCCGUUGUUUUUGAUAAUUCGGAUAGGAGUAGGAGUCCUUUUGGGUUUGAAGAUUUUCCAGAAAUUACCGUAACCCGUCAGGUAUAAGACCUCUCUCUCUCUCUCUCUCUCUCUCUCUCUCUCUCUCUCUGUGUGUGUGUGUGUGUGUGUGUGUGUGUGUGUGUGCGCGUGUGUGUAAAAAGAUGAAAAUUUGAAUUUGUGAACUAGUAGAAUGAAGGCUGUAUCUUAGUUGAAUCGAGUAAUUUAUCGAUGUUGCUAUGUUUAUUUUGGAAGUUAAAUGCUAUUUAAGUCAUGUUAUAUUUAUUUAUAAAGUUGUCUUAUCUUUACUUAUUUUGAUUGUUUUGUGUUUGUGUGUGCAAGUUGCAAACCGGCUAGGUUUAAAGUACCAGAAAUGAUACCUUUAUAUAGGAUUGUUUGUUGAUAUAUGUAGCGUUAUUGGCAGUUAUGUUUGAUGGAAAUUUUAACACUACUCCGUCAAAUGAGUUACUAAAUGCUCUCUUUAAAUAUGAUACAUGCGAUUGAGCAGACUCCUGAAUGUUGAUAGCAAGUGGCAGUGCUACGCAUUAACGCGCAAGGGGACCCCACACUCCUAAUUUUUAUAAAUAGAAAUAUACUAAAUUUCGCGCCUGUUUUGAAGUUUUGAUUUGUUUCUAGUUCGAGAAGUAUUUUGAAUUUUUGAAACAGCUUACCGCCGCGCAGUAGUAGAUGUAGUGUUUGUAUAAUGUGGUAGUGGUGUGUUUAGUUAUCAUAUUUCAGAUGUAAUGUUUUUGCGACAGCGACCAGAUACAAAGUGUUCUAAGUUGAUGUUAAAUUGUUUAAUUGGUAACAUUUUUUUACUGCAGAUUGUGGUUGGUGGAAGAAACAAAUAUUUGAUCAAUGGACAUCUUGCUCAACCUAGUCGAGUUCAAAAUCUUUUUCACUCCGUGCAGCUAAAUGUCAACAAUCCACAUUUUCUUAUAAUGCAAGGGCGAAUCACCAAGGUCCUAAACAUGAAACCCCCUGAAAUAUUGUCUAUGCUUGAAGAAGCUGCUGGAACAAGGAUGUAUGAAACAAAAAAAGAGGCUGCAUUAAAAACCCUUGAAAAAAAACAAAAUAAGGUGGAUGACAUUGAUAAGCUUCUUGAUGUGGAAAUACUUCCAGCAUUAGAUAAGUUAAGGAAAGAACGGACACAGUAUAUGCAAUGGGCGAAUGGAAAUGCAGAAUUGGACCGUCUUAAAAGAUUUUGCAUUGCUUAUGAAUAUAUUCAAGCAGAAAAGAUCAGAGACAAUGCAAUUCAAGGCGUGGAAGUUAUCAAGACUAAGCUUUCUGAAAUUGAUGCCAAUACAGAACAAAUGAAAAGGGAAAUACAGGAGAUGGAGACUAAAGUGUCAGACCUUACUGCCGAAAAAGAAGCACGCAUGGGAGGGGAGAUCAAAUGCUUGUCUGACAAAGUUGAUGCUCUCUCACGUGAUCUUGUUAAAGAAACAUCUGUUAUGAAAAAUCAAGAAGAUAAUCUUAUGAUUGAGAAAGACAAUGUUUUAAAGGUAGAAGUGAUAUAGCAAGCCAACAUUAGAAUAUAUUCACUAAAAUAUAAACUUAUAAAAUAUUGCCAUACUUGUUUCUUAUUUUGAUGCCAGAUUGAUAGAAACAUAGAAGAACUAAAACAGUCUGCCAAAGAAAAAGCUUUAGCUGUACAAAGUGCUGAAGAUGGAGCUGCUGACUUGAAAGGAAGAGUUGGGGAGCUUUCAAAAAGUUUAGUAGAUCACGAAAAAGAGUACCAGGUAUUGUUUGGUUAUGUGUGCAUUUAUAUACGUGAACACACACACUAUAUUCACAUUUACACACAUUUGCUCUAUGUGUUUUUGCAUACAAGUGCUGAAAAACUAAUCUGCAUGCAUCUUAGGGAGUAGUAGCUGGUAAGAGCAGCGGAGAUGAGGAGAAAUGCCUUGAAGAUCAACUAGCUGAUGCCAAAGUUGCGGUUGGAAGAGCAGAAACCGAACUCAAACAGUUGCAAACAAAGAUAAGCCUUGGUGAGAAAGAGCUGAAGGCAAAAUCGAAACAGUUGUUGUCCAAGCGAGAAGAAGCUGUUGCUGUUGAGAAAGAACUAAUUGUCCGAACCAAAGAUGUGGAAGAUGUUAAAAGGGCUUUGGAAUCUGUCUCAUUUGAAGAAGGGAAGAUGGAAGCUUUACAAAAGGUUGCUUUUCUAUCGGCACUUUUCAUCUUUUACACAAAUAGACACAGUACACACAAUUUAUCUUGAUGAAUGAAUAUCCUCGGGACUGGAGAAUUUUAUUCAAUUAUCGGGCUUCAAGUACACUUUUAGGAUUAUUUCAAAUUAUUAUUAAUAUAUCGAGGUUCUGUUGUAUGUCGAUCUGCGUUUAUAAAAUUUUCCGAUUGUUCAGGAUCGCACGGCUGAGCUAGAUAUUGUGCAGAAGCUAAAAGAUGAAAUCCGAAUGCUUACUUCACGCUUAGGAAAUGUUGACUUCCAAUACCGUGACCCUGCAAGAAAUUUUGAUAGGUCCAAGGUGAAAGGCGUUGUCGCAAAGCUCAUUAAAGUGAAGGAUAGAUCCGCGAUGACUGCUUUAGAGGUCAGAUCUGCAUUAAAUUUCACAUAAUGUAUGUUACCUUUUUAGAACUGUGAUGCAGCCAAUCCAAUAUACUAAUAUAUAAUGAUUUGCAGGUUGCUGCUGGUGGGAAGUUGUUCAAUGUUGUAGUGGACACAGAAAACACAGGAAAACAACUUCUUCAAAAUGGUGAACUUCGAAGACGUGUAACAAUAAUUCCUUUGAACAAAAUUAAUAGCCAUACUGUACCCCCUAGGGUUCAAAAUGCUGCUGUUAGAUUGGUUAGUGUCUGGAGUAAUGCCAUGAUUUAUUGAACUGUGUUUAAGUGUAUAAAUGAUGACGAGUAAAUUGUUUUACUACAUUCAGGUCGGCAAGGAAAAUGCCGAGGUGGCACUUUUGUUGGUCGAAUAUGAUAAAGAACUGAAGGUUCUCUUUUUUAUUGCCUAAAUCUUGGGAUUGAAGUAAUUUUUUUUAACAUAUGUUAAUCAAAUUUGAUGAGAGCUAUCAAUGUUUCAGAGCGCAAUGGAAUACGUAUUCGGUUCAACUUUUAUUUGCAAGACCACUGAUGCUGCGAAAGAGGUAUANAAAGAUGAAAAUUUGAAUUUGUGAACUAGUAGAAUGAAGGCUGUAUCUUAGUUGAAUCGAGUAAUUUAUCGAUGUUGCUAUGUUUAUUUUGGAAGUUAAAUGCUAUUUAAGUCAUGUUAUAUUUAUUUAUAAAGUUGUCUUAUCUUUACUUAUUUUGAUUGUUUUGUGUUUGUGUGUGCAAGUUGCAAACCGGCUAGGUUUAAAGUACCAGAAAUGAUACCUUUAUAUAGGAUUGUUUGUUGAUAUAUGUAGCGUUAUUGGCAGUUAUGUUUGAUGGAAAUUUUAACACUACUCCGUCAAAUGAGUUACUAAAUGCUCUCUUUAAAUAUGAUACAUGCGAUUGAGCAGACUCCUGAAUGUUGAUAGCAAGUGGCAGUGCUACGCAUUAACGCGCAAGGGGACCCCACACUCCUAAUUUUUAUAAAUAGAAAUAUACUAAAUUUCGCGCCUGUUUUGAAGUUUUGAUUUGUUUCUAGUUCGAGAAGUAUUUUGAAUUUUUGAAACAGCUUACCGCCGCGCAGUAGUAGAUGUAGUGUUUGUAUAAUGUGGUAGUGGUGUGUUUAGUUAUCAUAUUUCAGAUGUAAUGUUUUUGCGACAGCGACCAGAUACAAAGUGUUCUAAGUUGAUGUUAAAUUGUUUAAUUGGUAACAUUUUUUUACUGCAGAUUGUGGUUGGUGGAAGAAACAAAUAUUUGAUCAAUGGACAUCUUGCUCAACCUAGUCGAGUUCAAAAUCUUUUUCACUCCGUGCAGCUAAAUGUCAACAAUCCACAUUUUCUUAUAAUGCAAGGGCGAAUCACCAAGGUCCUAAACAUGAAACCCCCUGAAAUAUUGUCUAUGCUUGAAGAAGCUGCUGGAACAAGGAUGUAUGAAACAAAAAAAGAGGCUGCAUUAAAAACCCUUGAAAAAAAACAAAAUAAGGUGGAUGACAUUGAUAAGCUUCUUGAUGUGGAAAUACUUCCAGCAUUAGAUAAGUUAAGGAAAGAACGGACACAGUAUAUGCAAUGGGCGAAUGGAAAUGCAGAAUUGGACCGUCUUAAAAGAUUUUGCAUUGCUUAUGAAUAUAUUCAAGCAGAAAAGAUCAGAGACAAUGCAAUUCAAGGCGUGGAAGUUAUCAAGACUAAGCUUUCUGAAAUUGAUGCCAAUACAGAACAAAUGAAAAGGGAAAUACAGGAGAUGGAGACUAAAGUGUCAGACCUUACUGCCGAAAAAGAAGCACGCAUGGGAGGGGAGAUCAAAUGCUUGUCUGACAAAGUUGAUGCUCUCUCACGUGAUCUUGUUAAAGAAACAUCUGUUAUGAAAAAUCAAGAAGAUAAUCUUAUGAUUGAGAAAGACAAUGUUUUAAAGGUA
Molecule: long non-coding RNA, 36661 nt
Filed under: Daucus carota (carrot)
Lineage: Eukaryota; Viridiplantae; Streptophyta; Magnoliopsida; Apiales; Apiaceae
Description: long non-coding RNA (DCAR_LNC004602)
Source: RNAcentral